AACGCAUCUUGCGCUCCUUGGUAUUCCGAGGAGCAUGCCUGUUUGAGUGUCGUGAAUUCUCUCGAUCCUUCUCCCUUGUCUUCUCGGGAAGUGGGGAUCGGACUUGGAUGUCUGCCACCUCUUUCAAAAGAUGGUGGCUCAUCCCUAAAUGCAUCUAGCUGGUCCGCUGCCUGGUCCUCUACGCAAACGGUGUGAUAAGGAACACUUCUGUGACUGUAGUGCCGUUUUCCCAGAGCCCAUGGCGUGCAACCGCUUCCAAUCGUCUUCGGACAAGUAAGACUUCAUGUCAUCUGACCUCAAAUCAGGUAGGACUACCCGCUGAACUUAA
This 328-nucleotide unclassified non-coding RNA is filed under the name uncultured fungus. Its description in RNAcentral is "partial contains 5.8S ribosomal RNA, internal transcribed spacer 2, and large subunit ribosomal RNA". The stretch from base 1 to 52 matches the Rfam family "5.8S ribosomal RNA", at positions 103 to 154 of the family's 154-position model. Lineage: Eukaryota; Fungi. RNAcentral also lists the same sequence under 1 other name. The record is from RNAcentral.